RNAcentral lists this long non-coding RNA (548 nucleotides) under Homo sapiens (human). Its description in RNAcentral is "non-protein coding lnc-LNPK-2:2". The record is from RNAcentral. Lineage: Eukaryota; Metazoa; Chordata; Mammalia; Primates; Hominidae.
GAAAGUAGGGGCCCUCUCUCGGGCAGGGCUAGCUUGUAACACAGUUUGAAAUGUUUUUCAGGGAUGGUUACAGCCCUCCCUGUUUGUAUCCACCUUUUUCAGAUAUCAUCAGCCCAGGCCCAAGGCUCUUGCAAACCUGCGGAUUAACUACUCACUUAUCAAAAGGAAGCCUCAGGGAACCAGCAUGGGCCUGAGCUGUGCCCUCUGCACAAAGAUCUUUGUCCCAGCUGGGUCUCCUUUCCCCGCUUCAGCGACAGAAAUGACUACAGAAGCUGGCCCAGGGUUUUCCUGGCUUUACUCCUGGGGAUGUGAGGCCUGAAAACGACACCCAUUUUUGAAUGUGCAAAGGAACGAACAAACCAUAAACCAACCAACAAAUGAAAAAGGUACUUCUAUGUGUUUGCGAGGAAUCACACACGACCAAGAAGUCCAUCUUUGGGGGUUGAUGCAUGCUCCAGCCAAGGUAAAGCAACAGCUGCUAUUGAGGAUCCGUGGAUAAUUGUUAAUGGAUGGGGGCUUCCUGUGGCAGAGCUAGAGGCUGGGCUCGG